UUAGCUGUAUAAUGCUCAGCAUAUGUAAACACCCUUAUGCAUGAUAGCUCUAAGGCUAAUAUUAACAUGCAUAUAACAACCUCAUUUUGUAUUGUUAAUAUAUUAAUGUCAUUAUUCUGUAUUGUGUCUAAAUGUAACUACAGUGUUAUUUUCUCAACAUAACAUUUUUAGUAAAGGAAUUACAAAAAUAAUUUCAUUGUAAAACAGUCCUCAACACCCAGACCUGUAAGUUACCUCCCCAUCACAACACCCAGACCUGUAAGUUACCUCCCCAUCACAACACCCUGACCUGUAAGUUACCUCCCCAUCACAACACCCUGACCUGUAAGUUACCUCCCCAUCACAACACCUCAACACCCAGACCUGUAAGUUACUUCCCCAUCACAACACCUUAACACCCAGACCUGUAAGUUACCUCCCCAUCACAACACCCAGACCUGUAAUUUACCUCCCCAGAUUUAACAAUGUAACAUACCGUAUCUAAACCACUUCCACUAAUAAUAAUAUACUGUACAGUAUGUGUGUUACAACAUCAAUUUUAACAGGGAAAAUAACUUCACAAUGAUGUAAAAAGGCAAACAUUUAUACAAAAAUCGUAAUAAACUUUUCUCGUGACAAAAUCCAUGUAAAAGUGUGUUAACGAAAAGUAUACUGUACAUUUAAUGGAAUAAACUUGCAACAGUG
Homarus americanus (American lobster) is the source of this 684-nucleotide long non-coding RNA. RefSeq lists it as uncharacterized. The transcript is spliced from 2 exons. The record is from RefSeq and is a predicted model, not a curated record. Lineage: Eukaryota; Metazoa; Arthropoda; Malacostraca; Decapoda; Nephropidae.